GGGAGUAUAUAGCUCAGGUAGAGCAUUCGACUGCAGAUCGAGAGGUCCCUGGUUCAAAUCCGGGUGCUCCCU
RNAcentral lists this transfer RNA (72 nucleotides) under Strongylocentrotus purpuratus (purple sea urchin). RNAcentral describes it as "tRNA-Cys (GCA) (tRNA-Cys-GCA-12-1)". It matches the Rfam family "tRNA". From Rfam's summary of the family: Transfer RNA (tRNA) molecules are approximately 80 nucleotides in length. The record is from RNAcentral. Lineage: Eukaryota; Metazoa; Echinodermata; Echinoidea; Camarodonta; Strongylocentrotidae.